This 1094-nucleotide long non-coding RNA is filed under the name Rattus norvegicus (Norway rat). RNAcentral describes it as "long non-coding RNA NONRATT010432". The record is from RNAcentral. Lineage: Eukaryota; Metazoa; Chordata; Mammalia; Rodentia; Muridae.
CGGCCGCCAUGGCCAAGGCCAGCGUGGAGCUCACCCGCGAGCUGCAAGACAGCAUCCGGAGGUGCCUGAGCCAGGGGGCUGUGCUCCAGCAGCAUCGAGUGAAACUAGAGACAAAACCCAAGAAGUUCGAGGACCGAGUACUGGCCCUGACUUCCUGGCGCCUCCACCUCUUCCCCCUUAAAGUCCCAGCCAAGGUAGAAAGCUCAUUCAAUGUCCUGGAGAUCCGUGCCUUCAACACACUCAGUCAGAACCAGAUCCUGGUGGAGACUGAGCGUGGUGUGGUGAGCAUGCGGCUGCCGUCAGCUGAGAGUGUGGACCAGGUGACCCGGCAUGUGAGCUCUGCCCUCUCCAAGGUCUGCCCUGGCCCUGGGUGAGUGGCAGACAAGGGGUCUCCCAAAGGAUUAGACUAAAGGUAGAUUUCUCCUUCCUGUUGAUCUGGUCUCCUGGAACAAGAAUGCUCUCUCUGCUCUUCCCUGGAGGCUCACACACCAUAAUACAGGAAGAACUGAGAGCCUCUUUCCACCUCUCUCUGGGACGCCUUAUUCAUAUUCCAGGUGUUUGAUCCGGCGUGGAAAUGCAGACACCCCGGAGGGUCCCCGAGACACAUCUCCCAACUCUGAAACAAGUACCCUCUGACCUGGGCCGUCGAACAGCUCCCCUGAAACCCAAGAGAACUCGGCGAGCACAGUCCUGUGACAAACUGGAACCUGAUAGAAGACGGCCACCUGACCCUGCAGGUGUCUGUGCAGGAACCAGUGAACCAGGAACAGACUGACAGCUGCUGAACGCCCUCCCCAGCCUUCCUCGACAUGUGCCUCAUAAGGACUCAGGCCCCACCCACCCCUGCUCGCCCAUCCCUUGCCAGCCCUUGUCCUACAGGGCAGCACCACUAAGAAGGCAUGGGGGAGCAGGAGUGGGGACUGGAAGGGAGGGAGUGACCUGAAGCAGGGAAGCUGUCACACCUGCCUGGAGCUUCCUCCACAGAGAGCUUUGGGCAGAGGCUGUCUCUUCCCUGGGGGGAGGGUGAACCUCCGCCCCUUUAUGCCCAGGGGCUCUCUCCCCACUUGUAUAGAAUUAAAAAGAAAAUCACUGUC